Molecule: long non-coding RNA, 450 nt
Organism: Onychostoma macrolepis
Lineage: Eukaryota; Metazoa; Chordata; Actinopteri; Cypriniformes; Cyprinidae
Exons: 3
Source: RefSeq, a predicted model, not a curated record
CAGCUAUUAAGGACUUUGAAUGCAUAUUUCAGAACACAUGGACCAAGGAAAAGCAGAUCAAUGAGACAGAAAAAGGACAAUCGUUGACUUAUUUGUGCUUGUACAUCAUUCUGGAUGGCUUUGCUCUUGUCAGCCACAAACUUGAGGACAUCUUCAACAUGGGUCUGGAUCAUGCCGGCCAGGGGGGCGACCUGAGCCUGGACGGAGGCGGCCAGAGGCUUGAUGUGGUCUUCAAUGUUGCCGGAGAGGGGCUUCAGCUGCUCCUGGAGCUUCUCAACCAUGGGCUGGAACUGGGCUCUGCUCUGCUCAAAAUUCAUUGCACAAAGAUGAUCAUGGACUUACUUGGCCUUGUUGGCCAGCUCAGGGCCCUCAACGUUCUUCAGGUUGUCCACGAGAUCCUGGAAGUACUUGGCGAUCUUCUCCAGCUCAGCAGGAGCGUCUCUCUUGACC